GAGGUUUCGAUCCGUGGCUACAGAACGAACGCUGGCGGCAGGCUUAACACAUGCAAGUCGAACGCCCUGCAAGGGGAUGGGCAGACGGGUGAGUAACGCGUGGGAAUCUACCUAGUUCUACGGAACAACACAGGGAAACUUGUGCUAAUACCGUAUACGCCCUACGGGGGAAAGAUUUAUCCGGAAUUAGGAUGAGCCCGCGUAAGAUUAGCUAGUUGGUGGGGUAAUGGCCUACCAAGGCGACGAUCUUUAGCUGGUCUGAGAGGAUGAUCAGCCACACUGGGACUGAGACACGGCCCAGACUCCUACGGGAGGCAGCAGUGGGGAAUAUUGGACAAUGGGCGCAAGCCUGAUCCAGCCAUGCCGCGUGAGUGAUGAAGGCCUUAGGGUUGUUAAAGCUCUUUCAGUGGGGAAGAUAAUGACGGUACCCACAGAAGAAGCCCCGGCUAACUUCGUG
This 457-nucleotide ribosomal RNA is filed under the name uncultured Devosia sp. RNAcentral's name for it is "bacterial SSU rRNA". It matches the Rfam family "Bacterial small subunit ribosomal RNA", at positions 1 to 507 of the family's 1533-position model. The record is from RNAcentral. Lineage: Bacteria; Pseudomonadati; Pseudomonadota; Alphaproteobacteria; Hyphomicrobiales; Devosiaceae.